RNAcentral lists this small nucleolar RNA (91 nucleotides) under Metschnikowia bicuspidata var. bicuspidata NRRL YB-4993. RNAcentral also lists the same sequence under 1 other name. Lineage: Eukaryota; Fungi; Ascomycota; Pichiomycetes; Serinales; Metschnikowiaceae. The record is from RNAcentral.
UUACUAUGAUGAAAAAACUUAUAUUCAGUUCUGCUUCUGAACCAAAAAAUUCUGAAGAUAACCCAUUACCAAAAGCUUACUUUUCUGACGU